Molecule: transfer RNA, 85 nt
Filed under: Caudoviricetes sp.
Lineage: Duplodnaviria; Heunggongvirae; Uroviricota; Caudoviricetes
Description: tRNA-Ser
Rfam family: tRNA
About the family: Transfer RNA (tRNA) molecules are approximately 80 nucleotides in length. Their secondary structure includes four short double-helical elements and three loops (D, anti-codon, and T loops). Further hydrogen bonds mediate the characteristic L-shaped molecular structure. tRNAs have two regions of fundamental functional importance: the anti-codon, which is responsible for specific mRNA codon recognition, and the 3' end, to which the tRNAs corresponding amino acid is attached (by aminoacyl-tRNA synthetases). tRNAs cope with the degeneracy of the genetic code in two manners: having more than one tRNA (with a specific anti-codon) for a particular amino acid; and 'wobble' base-pairing, i.e. permitting non-standard base-pairing at the 3rd anti-codon position.
Source: RNAcentral
GGAAAGUUGGCAGAGUGGUCGAUUGCGCUGGUCUAGAAAACCAGUGAUCCUUUAGGAUUCGGGAGUUCGAAUCUCUCACUUUCCG